UACAAACGCUAGUACCGACAGCUACGAUUAAGAAAGGCAUUAUUGGCUUUCAUGUGAAGGUGGUGAUAUUGGGACAGGAUCCAUACCAUGGACCAGGUCAAGCUCAUGGUCUGAGUUUCAGUUUUCAUGGCGGGAAGCCUUUUCCACCUAGGUAAGGACAUAGGCAAUAGUCAAACUAAUGAUGCUUACUGAUGGACUGUAAUAUAAUCUAUUACCCAUAUAUACCUCUGAUGUGUGUUUUCCAUAUCUUUUUUAUCUUACCCUGGGCAGGAUUGAUACAAGCCACACCUUCUCAACAGUUGUUUGCAACAAUACAAUGACAUCAUGUCGACCAUUCAGUCAUGUCACAUCUGUUUUGUAUUUAUGUAACAUAAGCAGGUAAACAGAGUAAGAUAAAAUAUUCUCCUAUACAAGCGAAUUUCCGUUUUUAGUAGGGUAAAGGUAUACGUAGCUCUCUAUAAUUGUCUGUAACCAGUUUACAGUAGGGAAGAGAUAUUUUUCACGCACUUAUGAUAGCGUAACCAUGUCGUAUACUUGAUAACGUAAUCAAUUAUGAACGCGCAUUUGAAUGACAUUGAUGAUAAUGCGAUGAAAACGUUUCACAACAGUUUGUUUUUAUUUUAAAAGCAUAUAAGAAAAAAAAUCUAACAACUACCUGUACUGUGGACAGGGCUAUAUCAGGCCUUGUGCUGACUAAACAAACCCUCAGGUUGAGAUAUCGCUGUCCACGGAAUAGGUCCAUGUAAGAUUCUAUUAAUCAUUUACCCACUUUGGGAGCGAGACAGGGAGAUCUAAACUCGAUCUUAAACAUUGGGGUUUAAUUCUAAAGCUGCCAAGCAUUCAAAAAGCCUCGUGUUUGGCAACUUAAGAAUCCUCCCUCAGGUUGAUAUUCCCCUGUCUCGUCUCCAAGGGGGUAAAAGUUCUACUGAUCUCUUUCAGGGGCUGCAGACAUUCUUUUACAAAAUUUUGUUUGAUGUGAAGAUAGUUCUUUAAAAAUAUUAUUGUACAACAUUACUGGGCAAUUUGUUUAGUUUAUCCCCUAUGAACAGCCAGAUUCAUUUUGAAGCGGGGUCUCUUUGUAGUAAUCGGUAGCUACAUCACUAAAAAACAUACGGGAGCCCUGUCACGUGCCAUCCAGAGCAAUCAGGGUCAAAUGUCUUGUUUAAGGACACAGCCACAACCGCACAAACCAGCCCGUUUAUCAUCUUUCAAAGAAACACAAACCGACACGAAUAGGGAGCGUUGAACUACACACAUCUGAUCUUCACUUGAAGUAAUACCGUCAUGCAAACCUACUGACCUAUUGCGGGAGGUGCAAAUAUAAAAAUGUUAUACCUCCUAAACUCCUGGGAGAUUUGCAACAGGAUACAAUAUUACUGGUGAAGACCCCAAAGUCACAGUGUAUGUUUAGGUGGGGAUAUAUUGGCGAAUAGGGAAAUCUGACAUUUUUCGGCAUAGCCUCUAAUUUAGUUUUGACCCCGGAUAUGACGCGACA
Long non-coding RNA from Pecten maximus, 1495 nucleotides. RefSeq lists it as uncharacterized. Lineage: Eukaryota; Metazoa; Mollusca; Bivalvia; Pectinida; Pectinidae. The record is from RefSeq and is a predicted model, not a curated record. The transcript has 3 exons.